CUAUAGAACACUAUACAACCCUAUAGAACGCCAUAUAACCCUACAGAACGCCAUACAACCCUAUAGAACACUAUAUAACCCUAUAGAACGCUAUACAACCCUAUAGAACGCUAUAGGACGACAUAUCGCGAUACCUCCCGAUAUCACCAACCGAUCCCGCAGCCGCGUUAAUAACCGUUAUCAAUAUGCAAAUGAGGCCGCAUCGAUCGCGAUCCUCAAUCCCCAUUGGUUCCUAUCGCGAUAGGAGCCCCUCCCCCCCCCAAAACCCCCUUUUUGGGGUGAAAAACGGAGGUUUUGGGGCUCACCAGAGGUCGGAAGCGGAAGGGAACAGAGGUGGAGGCCACGCCCCCUCGUGACGUGAUGACGUCACCGGUGACGCAAGGGGGAGGGGCUUUGACGAGGUUGGGGCCGCGCCCCUUCCCUAUGGGAGCCAAUGGAGGUCUCUAUGGGUUAUUGAAGGCACGGCCCCUUUAAGCCCCGACCGGAAGUCGCCGCCGAUGACGUCACUUCCGCCCCGGAAGCGCCGCCUGCGCCGAGCGCUCUGAGGCCUCCGCCCAUUGCCCAAUGGCCAAGCGCUCCGUGACCUUUGCUGACCUCGAGGGGGAGGGGCCAGAGGAGGAACCGCCCCUCCCCCCCCGCAAGAGGGCCAUGAGCCGCUUCCCAGGGCAGCCCUCAUUGGACAGUGAUGAGGAAGAGGAGGACGAGGAUGAGGCCGAAGGAAGCAGCGACUUCAACCUCUUCCUGCCCCACGGUUCAGAGGAGUCACCGGAAGGGGCGGGGCCAGAGGAGGGGGAGGGGCCCGUGACGCCCUUUGACCUCGGGCCCGAAUUGGCCGAGGGGCACUUUGACCCCGCGGGUCACUUCCUGUGGCAUCCGGCUCCGCCCCCUGACCCCUGGCUGGAGGCCAUUGAGGGGGGGAAGUGCUGUGGGAAUACGUGUGGGAAGAGGGGGGGGAGGUGUUCGGGCCCUUCAGCAGCAGCCAGAUGCAGGAGUGGGCCUCCCAGGGUUACUUCCAGGGGGGCGGGGCCAGGUGCCGGCGCGUGCGGCCCCUCCCCCACCCGCCGGGUCCCUUCUACGACUGCGCGCGGGUGGACUUCGAGCUGUUCACGUGACCCACCCCGAGGGGGGCGGGGCCUGAGGAGGGGGCGGGGCUUGAGGAGGGGUCGUGACCUCAAUGGGG
This 1180-nucleotide long non-coding RNA is filed under the name Melopsittacus undulatus (budgerigar). RNAcentral's name for it is "lncRNA (ENSMUNG00000020076.1)". Lineage: Eukaryota; Metazoa; Chordata; Aves; Psittaciformes; Psittaculidae. The record is from RNAcentral.